Molecule: long non-coding RNA, 704 nt
Filed under: Cyanistes caeruleus (blue tit)
Lineage: Eukaryota; Metazoa; Chordata; Aves; Passeriformes; Paridae
Description: lncRNA (ENSCCEG00000000212.1)
Source: RNAcentral
GAAAUGUGUUUGGCUUUAAUUUAUAAAGCAUUUAGAUUUGAAGAGAUCCAGGUGCUGGCUAACUAGAAUGUCAUUUGUCUCUCUCCCUUUUUUUCAAGGUAAAAGUUUUUGGUCCGUUCAGUCCUUAUCAGCUGAAAUGCUACAGUCUGACCAGAAUAUCCCAAUUCAGAAAUGUUUUCAUAAGUAAGGAGAGCAUAAACUCCAUUGUUGUCCAUGAUGGUGUAGAAGAUCCCUUUCAGCAGCUCUUGGUCGCCACUGAUGUGGUGUCUGAUUUUAGGAGAAACAUCUUUGAUGCCUCCUAUUCAUGGCCUGCUUGCACUCCUCAGUAUGCUCUUUGCUCCUGCAAUAGAACUCAGGUAUUUGUACGUUUUAAAGUGGUGGUUUUCUUAUAAUUUUCAUUAGGAUCAUCACAUAUUUUUGUCAGAUAUUAUUUAUUUGCUUUUGGCAUUUUAUAUAUUCUCUUCCUGGUAUUCUUUUAUGAGUUUUAGUAUAGUAUGUGGGUAAAAUGUCCAUGUACUUAUGAAUUGAUGCUGCAGCCUCCUCUCACGAUAAGGCAUUACAGCUCCUGACAGCUGUGCUGGAAGCCUGGGAAGGUGGAAUAUAAACUGGGAAUACUAAAUCUACAUGAGAAGAGGAACUUCUAUAAUUUUUUGUAAAAGCUGAGCUCUGGUAGUGACAUUAAUGCUGUAUUUUCUUGAAUAUCU